GGGGUAUUGUGCUACACAUUUUUCUUGCCUCUGGCAGGACCUUUCAUUCCAUUCUGGAAAGUGAAAUGUUGGAGCAUUCUGAGUCACAGCUCUGGUGAAGGGUCCAUGGCAGCUGCCUCUAAAGAGUAGAGCCUUAGGCAUCUAGCAAACCCAUUCACCUGUUCCAAACCAUCCCUGCCAGAGCAGGGAUCAGUUAAUAAACUACCUGAAUUAAAGUCUUCCAGAGGUAGCUCCCAGGUUAGUAGUUUGCAUGCUUUAGGUCCUUGGUGAUUUCUAAGAAGUCUCCUGUGAUCCCUUUCUGGUUUACAUUUCCUUUAUUCUCUAUAGGAAAUAAAUUCAUUUGAGAGGAGUAAUAAGUGAACCUCUUGAAUGAUUAAAAUGCGUUGAAUUAAGGAAGAGUAUAUAUAAAACAGUAGUGGAGUUUAACCCUGGGGUGUUCUACCACUGAGCUACAUCCCCAGCCCUUUUUAUAUUUUGUUUUGAGACAGGGUCUAAUUAAGUUGACCAGGCUGGCUUCACACUUGUGAUCUUUCACCCCCACCCUCUCAAGUAGUUGGGAUUACAGGUAUGUGCUCCUGCACCCAGUUUUAUAUUUGUCUUUUAAGGCAGUAUUUCUCAAUUAAUGUGAGUAGAGUCACUUAGGGAUCUUGUUGAACUACAAACUCUGUUUCAGCAGGUCUGGGGAGGAGCUUGAUUCAGCCUUUUAAACAAGCCUAGGUGAUGCUGAUGUUCUGUCCCAAGGUCCACACUUUGAGUAGCAAAAUUAUAAAGCUCCAUAAAUUUCUGUUAAUAAGAAAAAAUAUACAGUUUUUUCUGCAUAUAUCAUUUUACCAUGUGUGAAAAUAAAUCCUGUCAUCGUUAUGUUAACAAUGGUAAUACUACAUUCUCUAUUCAUAAUGCCAAAUAUCUGAAUUAAACUUACCAAAAUUCUGUUAAACACUUAGAUGCUAUAACUAUACAAUGCUAACUUCCAGAUAUUUGGAGACAGUAGAAAUGAAUUUCUCUUUUUGUUUAGAUGUUUAUCAAUGUUCAGAUACUUUUAAUACUGAUAUGAGACUUUUG
Molecule: long non-coding RNA, 1062 nt
Filed under: Marmota monax (woodchuck)
Lineage: Eukaryota; Metazoa; Chordata; Mammalia; Rodentia; Sciuridae
Source: RNAcentral